Molecule: long non-coding RNA, 288 nt
Organism: Drosophila kikkawai
Lineage: Eukaryota; Metazoa; Arthropoda; Insecta; Diptera; Drosophilidae
Source: RefSeq, a predicted model, not a curated record
AAGGGGGAAAGAAAUGUUCAGUCUUCGGUUUCGUCAUGCUUCUUCUUAUUCCCUUUGCAUUACAAGUUGAAGUGUUCUCCACUGCAGAAGUGUCGUGUGUUAAAAAUAUUAAGAAAUCAAAUAAUUCAAUAAUUACGUUCCGGGCCAUAUUGGAAUAUAAAAAAAGACUGCAGUAAUGGCCAAUAUAUUGGAUGCAAUUUCCCAAGUGACUAAAACUGAGCCUCCAGAGAAGAUACUGCGCAAUAAAUUUGGUCUUCAUGAAUAGAAAGCGGAACACCAAGGAUCAAA